GAGAGUUAAACAGUACGUGAAAUUGUUGAAAGGGAAACGAUUGAAGUCAGUCAUACCAACGGGAAAUCAACCUCUUGAGUUUGGUCUCGUGGGUUUCGAAGAGUUUUAAAAGCCUUCGGAUUUUCGAGAUUGGGCUCUUCUGGUGUACUUUCUCGUACGGUUAGUCAACAUCGGUUUUGAAUGUCAUAAAAUGACUGGAGGAAUGUGGCUUCGAUCUCGUAUUGAAGUGUUAUAGCCUUUGGUAGAUGUGAUGUUCGAGACCGAGGAUUGUGCAACGGAUACCCUUCUGGGCUAUUCGUCUGAUCUCUGAAACGUUGCCUUGAUGUCGAAAGCUUGCUUAUGAUGUUAGGGUAUUACGGUCAAAAGGUUAGAACGGAUUAAAUUCGUUAAGGAUGUUGACGUAAUGACUUUAAACGA
Molecule: ribosomal RNA, 417 nt
Filed under: uncultured Funneliformis
Lineage: Eukaryota; Fungi; Glomeromycota; Glomeromycetes; Glomerales; Glomeraceae
Description: partial 28S ribosomal RNA
Source: RNAcentral